AGUGAAUAGAUACCCGGGUAGUCCCAGCUGUAAACGAUGCGCGUUAGGUGUAUCGGUGACCACGAGUCACCGAGGUGCCGAAAGAGAAAUCGUGAAACGUGCCGCCUGGGAAGUACGGUCGCAAGGCUGAAACUUAAAGGAAUUGGCGGGGGAGCACCACAACAGGUGGAGCCUGCGGUUUAAUCGGACUCAACGCCGGGAAACUUACCAGAUAAGACAGCUGAAUGAUAGUCGGGCUGAAGACUCUACUUGACUAGCUGAGAGGAGGUGCAUGGCCGUCGUCAGUUCGUACUGUGAAGCAUCCUGUUAAGUCAGGCAACGAGCGAGACCCACGCCAACAGUUGCCAGCUCGUCCUCCGGGAUGGAGGGGACACUGUUGGGACCGCCUCUGCUAAAGAGGAGGAAGGAAUGGGCAACGGUAGGUCAGCAUGCCCCGAAUUAUCUGGGCUACACGCGGGCUACAAUGGGUGGGACAAUGGGUAUCGACACCGAAAGGUGAAGGCAAUCUCCUAAACCCAUCCUUAGUUCGGAUUGUGGGCU
Molecule: ribosomal RNA, 540 nt
Filed under: uncultured bacterium
Lineage: Bacteria
Description: bacterial SSU rRNA
Rfam family: Archaeal small subunit ribosomal RNA
Source: RNAcentral